ACUAAAGCUAGCCCAAACAAAACAAAACACAACUACAUAAACCAACUUUAAAAUAAAACAUUUAUAAAUUAAAGUAUAGGAGAUAGAAAUUUUAAAUAGGCGCUAUAGAGAAAGUACCGCAAGGGAACGAGUGAAAGAAUAAAUUAAAAGUGAUAAAUAGCAAAGAUUAACCCUUUUACCUUUUGCAUAAUGAGUUAACUAGUAAACUUUAGCAAAGAGAACUUAAGUUAAAUACCCCGAAACCAGACGAGCUACCCAUGAGCAGCUUAACAGAGCAAACUCGUCUAUGUGGCAAAAUAGUGAGAAGACUUGUGGGUAGAGGUGAAAAGCCUACCGAGCCUGGUGAUAGCUGGUUGUCCAGAAAAGAAUAUAAGUUCAACUUUAAUUCCUACUGACAAAAAACAAAAUUAUAAUGUAGAAUUAAAUGUUAGUCUUUAGAGGUACAGCCCUUAAGACAAAGGAUACAACCUUAUAUUGGAGAGUAAGAAUAUUAAAAUUACCAUAGUUGGCCUAAAAGCAGCCAUCAAUUAAGAAAGCGUUCAAGCUCAACAUUACUAAAAAUUUUAAUUCCUAUAAUAAAACAAUCUCCCAAUGAAAAUAACUGGACUAAUCUAUAAAACUAUAGAAGAAAUACUGUUAAUAUGAGUAACAAGAAUAAUUUCUCCCUGCACAAGCCUAUAUCAGAUCGGAUAACCACUGAUAGUUAACAACAAAAUAAUAAUAAUCAUAAAUAAAAAACUUAUUAAAUUUAUUGUUGACCCAACACCGGUGUGCACACUUAUUAAGGGAAAGAUUAAAAGAAGUAAAAGGAACUCGGCAAACACAAACCCCGCCUGUUUACCAAAAACAUCACCUCUGGCAUAACCAGUAUCAGAGGCACUGCCUGCCCAGUGACAUUAGUUAAACGGCCGCGGUAUCCUGACCGUGCAAAGGUAGCAUAAUCAUUUGUUCUUUAAUUAGGGACUUGUAUGAAUGGCCACACGAGGGUUUAACUGUCUCUUACUUCCAAUCAGUGAAAUUGACCUUCCCGUGAAGAGGCGGGGAUAAAAAAAUAAGACGAGAAGACCCUAUGGAGCUUCAAUUAAUUAACUCAAAAAAACAUAAUUCCCUCCAAAAGGUGACCAAAAAACAAAAAACUGAGUUAACAAUUUCGGUUGGGGUGACCUCGGAGUAUAAAAUAACCUCCGAGAGAUUCAAGCCAAGACUUACGAGUCAAAGCUAAUACAUCACAAUUGAUCCAAUCACAUUGAUCAACGGAACAAGUUACCCUAGGGAUAACAGCGCAAUCCUAUUUAAGAGUCCAUAUCGACAAUAGGGUUUACGACCUCGAUGUUGGAUCAGGACAUCCCAAUGGUGCAGCCGCUAUUAAUGGUUCGUUUGUUCAACGAUUAAAGUCCUACGUGAUCUGAGUUCAGACCGGAGCAAUCCAGGUCGGUUUCUAUCUAUUUAAUAUUUCUCCCAGUACGAAAGGACAAGAGAAAUAAGGCCAACUCUACAGGAGAGCCUUAAAACCAAUAGAUGAAUUAAUCUAAAUCUAGUAAUUUAUUACAAUUCUGCCCUAGAAACAGGGCUUC
RNAcentral lists this ribosomal RNA (1574 nucleotides) under Condylura cristata (star-nosed mole). RNAcentral describes it as "16S ribosomal RNA". It matches the Rfam family "Bacterial large subunit ribosomal RNA". The record is from RNAcentral. Lineage: Eukaryota; Metazoa; Chordata; Mammalia; Eulipotyphla; Talpidae.